GGUCUGACGAGUACGGGGGCUGCGGCGUGCGGGGCUGCCGAGCUUCCCCGAGGGCGAUCUGGGGCCGCCGUGGCCACUCAGCAGUCUGUCGGUUGGGUGACAUUUUAACGAAAGAGCCUGUGUCACCGAAAAGGGGCUGCUAAGAAUCAACUGAUUCACGCUUUUGGAGGGAGUUGCCAGAAGCCCUGACACUCACGAGCCACAUGGCGGGAACUGCGAGAACCAUAGCAGACGCGAGCUCGAAGCUGCUCGAGUGUCAGUUCCUGUGUGUACAAGCGCUUGCCAGCUCCCUCUGCAGACCUGUCUUUCUGUCAUUCUUACCUCGCCCUUUGCUAAACCAGCCCUCUGCGGCCGCCAGCCCUCUGAGGCCGUCAUCCGACUGUGGCCGGGCCUCCAUUCCUCUCUUACCUCGGUGCUGUCAUUUACCCUUUUCUGAAGCAAGAGGAACAAAACACUCCCUGGAAGUCUCAGGAGGAUCUCAUUUCCACCACAUUCCCCUAUCGUGGUUGUGUGGAGUCCAGAGGCGUUAAGAGGGUGUCAGAAAAGCUGCUUCCUGAAGUCUGCAGACUGGCUGUCCGUGCUCUACCAAGGGAAGAAAAAUGGAAGACUUGGAUCUGGUCUACGGUUCUCCUGAGUGGUGGUAUUGCCCAAGCACAUGCCAUGGAAAACUGACUGGGAAGGCCUGGGAAAGGAAAAAGAAAAGCUUGCUGUCUUUGCACCUGCUCUUAAAGGAGAAGUAGUCUUCAGGAAGAGAAAGUGGAGGAUGGAGGGGCUGAAGAGCACACCCGGCCAGUGGAAAGGGCACUGAUGAUCAUACGUGAACAAAACCAUGACUUACAAGAUGGGGGAAUAACUUCACCAAAGAAGGGUGAAGGGUGAGGCCAGGUAAGUAACAUUUGUCAAGAUCCUGCCACACCUGUGUCAGUGGUUCUCCAAUCUUUGGGUACAUCAGGUUCACCUGGAGACUUGUUAAAAACAAGAUCCCAGGGUUUCCUAGAGAGGGAAUCCGUGAGUGAUUCUAAUGCACACCUGAUUCGGUAUCACCACCCUA
Long non-coding RNA from Globicephala melas (long-finned pilot whale), 1051 nucleotides. RefSeq lists it as uncharacterized. NCBI's taxonomy places the organism in Eukaryota, Metazoa, Chordata, Mammalia, Artiodactyla, Delphinidae. The record is from RefSeq and is a predicted model, not a curated record.